Molecule: ribosomal RNA, 468 nt
Filed under: uncultured bacterium
Lineage: Bacteria
Description: partial 16S ribosomal RNA
Rfam family: Bacterial small subunit ribosomal RNA
Source: RNAcentral
GACGAACGCUGGCGGCGUGCUUAACACAUGCAAGUCGAACGGAAAGGCCCUGCUUUUGUGGGGUGCUCGAGUGGCGAACGGGUGAGUAACCCGUGAGUAACCUACCCUUGACUUUGGGAUAACUUCAGGAAACUGGGGCUAAUACCGGAUAGGAGCUCCUGCUGCAUGGUUGGGGUUGGAAAGUUUCGGCGGUUGGGGAUGGACUCCCGGCUUAUCAGCUUGUUGGUGGGGUAGUGGCUUACCAAGGCUUUGACGGGUAGCCGGCCUGAGAGGGUGACCGGACAGAUUGGGACUGAGAUACGGCCCAGACCCCUACGGGAGGCAGCAGUGGGGAAUAUUGCACAAUGGGCGGAAGCCUGAUGCAGCAACGCCGCGUGCGGGAUGACGGCCUUCGGGUUGUAAACCGCUUUCGCCUGUGACGAAGCGUGAGUGACGGUAAUGGGUAAAGAAGCACCGGCUAACUACGUG